Molecule: transfer RNA, 85 nt
Filed under: Felis catus (domestic cat)
Lineage: Eukaryota; Metazoa; Chordata; Mammalia; Carnivora; Felidae
Rfam family: tRNA
About the family: Transfer RNA (tRNA) molecules are approximately 80 nucleotides in length.
Source: Rfam by way of RNAcentral
GCCUGGGUGGCUCAGCCGGUUGAGUGUCUGACUUUGGCUCAGGUUGUGAUCUCGUGGUUCAUGGGUUCGAGCCCCACAUUGGGCU